GACGAACGCUGGCGGCGUGCUUAACACAUGCAAGUCGAACGGGUCUGCCCUGUUUUUUGCGGGGUGGGUCAGUGGCGAACGGGUGAGUAACACGUGAGUAACCUGCCCCUCACUUCUGGAUAACCGCUUGAAAGGGUGGCUAAUACGGGGUGUUCUGGCUGUGCCGCAUGGUGUGGCUGGGAAAGAUUCACUUUUGUGGUGUUUUGGUGGGGGAUGGGCUCGCGGCCUAUCAGCUUGUUGGUGGGGUGAUGGCCUGCCAAGGCUUUGACGGGUAGCCGGCCUGAGAGGGUGGGCGGUCACACUGGGACUGAGAUACGGCCCAGACUCCUGCGGGAGGCAGCAGCGGGGGGUAUUGCACAAUGGGCGGAAGCCUGAUGCAGCGACGUCGCGUGAGGGAUGGAGGCCUUCGGGUUGUGAACCUCUUUCGCCGGUGAAGAAGGUCCUGCUCUUUGUGGUGGGGUUGACGGUAGCCGGGUUAUGAAGCGCCGGCUAACUACGUG
RNAcentral lists this ribosomal RNA (500 nucleotides) under uncultured bacterium. Its description in RNAcentral is "partial 16S ribosomal RNA". It matches the Rfam family "Bacterial small subunit ribosomal RNA", at positions 28 to 507 of the family's 1533-position model. The record is from RNAcentral.